AUCUAGAUCUGUUUCGGUUAUCACAACUACAGCACCAUCAUCGAAGGCUAGCAAAUUCCGUCUGGAGAAGAUUGAGCUCCGUGGGAUCAAACUAGUCAAGGGGGUAGAACUGUAUGACUUUUUCACCAUGAGAUGGUAAAAAUCCUGGACAGCCUGUCGUUGUGUAGAGGCCAAAAGCACCCUUGGACGAAUUGACUUCACAUAGUUAUAUGCAUCAUUUGGUGUCAUCUGCUUGUACUUAACCAAGUAGCACAAGACAAUGGUCGUGCUACGUCCUCGACCAGCCUUGCAGUGCACAUAUGUACUUUGUCCAUUGGAAGCAUUUUCGUGGAUGAACUCUACUGCUUGACAUAUAUUAUUCAGAGAUGGGGCAAAUAAGUAAUCUCUUGUUGGGAGAACCAAAUGACGAAUACCAUGAGCCUCAUAUAAAGAUGUCGGAACUAAAGUCUCAUAUGGCUCAUUUAGGGUGACAACACCGGAGACACCAAGCUCCUUAAGCCUUUUCACAUCCGAUGGGAAAGGGACAGCACCUAAUAACACAAACUCAUCAAUCCAGUCCCACCAGCGAAACUCCACUUGAAUCUUGUUCCUAACAACAUUGUAGAGAAGUGUCGGGUAAAACAAAGCCCGAGCACCAACUCCAACCAUGACCCUCCUGACAUCCAACACAACAAUAGCAUUCUUGCCACUACUACCACCAGAAUACACCACCUUAUCAGCAGGAGAUGAUUUCUCUGCCUUCUCUACCACACCAGCCAUCUCCACUUCCCCAUUCUCCAACUCUCCUCUCUUCUCUUCCUCUAUAUACAUGAUAAUACUUGAAACAGGAAAAAAAAAAUCUAUACAACUGACUGAUCACAAAAAGAGAGGAAAAAAACAAAAUGCAGAACCCACUUGCCAAAGUAAUUAAAAAAAAGAUUUACACAACGCACUGACAAACAAAGUGCAAAUUCCACACCAAAACACAAACUUUCACCUAAAAUUCAAACUAAGAGACUUAUAAACCCAAUAUCAUUCUCAUCACUGUCUUCAAAAUCAACAUAAAAUAAAUGGACCCUUCCCUCAAAAUUAGGCAAAUUAUCAGUAAAACGGAUCGGGGUCGCUGAAAUUGCAACAAAGGUUCGAACUUUGGCUGAAAUCACGGUAGACUUUGCAAAUUUCAACCAUAUUCAGAGAAAAUUGUAUCGAUCAGACGGAAAAGAUCUUGCGGAGAUGGUUGAGACCCUUGAUUUGGAAAAGCAAUCGAAUCCGAAUCGGUAAAAGAGUGGAGAUAGCUUAGGAU
RNAcentral lists this unclassified non-coding RNA (1282 nucleotides) under Hevea brasiliensis (rubber tree). Lineage: Eukaryota; Viridiplantae; Streptophyta; Magnoliopsida; Malpighiales; Euphorbiaceae. The record is from RNAcentral.